Long non-coding RNA from Hordeum vulgare subsp. vulgare (domesticated barley), 438 nucleotides. RefSeq lists it as uncharacterized. NCBI's taxonomy places the organism in Eukaryota, Viridiplantae, Streptophyta, Magnoliopsida, Poales, Poaceae. The transcript has 2 exons. The record is from RefSeq and is a predicted model, not a curated record.
AACCUUUACACCACAUGGAGGUCUCAACGCUUCCCGGCGAGACCUAGGUCCAUCUUGUCGAGUUCCCCAAACUCGCCGAGUACCCCUGAUAUUGUAAUCCUUUGUGCUCACCACAUAUUAUUAUAUAAGAAAAGAGAGAACGAGAGAGCAAGGCAGUAAGUAGGUCUGUUACCCGCAUUGGGUACAGGUAACCUGCUGUGACGUUCUCACAACUACAAAUCCACGUACUUGUUCUAGUAUUGUUGUUAGGAUCUGACCAAAAAAAAUAAAAUCCUUCGACACCACCUAUUUAUUUGUUACCAUUGAUUUAUUUAGCAUUUCAUUUACUUGCGACAUACCAGGAAAGUACCUCCCGCAUCUGACACGGACCACCGAAGAAACCCCCAAAAGGCAAAAGAAGUUUACCCUCGCCUCCCACAUGCAAAGGAAACGACCAAA